Molecule: small nucleolar RNA, 142 nt
Organism: Lampris incognitus (smalleye Pacific opah)
Lineage: Eukaryota; Metazoa; Chordata; Actinopteri; Lampriformes; Lampridae
Source: RefSeq, a predicted model, not a curated record
ACCGGCUCCUAUCGAAGCCGCUCCUGCUCCUCCACCGUAGCAGGGGGCGGUCAAACGGACGCCGAGAUCGUCCUCUUUCACCGACGGUCGCUGUUCAGUUCUCAAAUAACUGUCUUCAGCAACAUUAAGGGGAAGGACAAAU